GCCCGGGUGGUGUAGUCCGGUCAGCAUAGAGGCCUGUCGAGCCUCAGACCCGGGUUCAAAUCCCGGCCCGGGCG
Molecule: transfer RNA, 74 nt
Filed under: Candidatus Methanodesulfokora washburnensis
Lineage: Archaea; Thermoproteati; Thermoproteota; Candidatus Korarchaeia
Also listed under: 1 other name
Description: tRNA-Asp
Rfam family: tRNA
About the family: Transfer RNA (tRNA) molecules are approximately 80 nucleotides in length. Their secondary structure includes four short double-helical elements and three loops (D, anti-codon, and T loops).
Source: RNAcentral